RNAcentral lists this ribosomal RNA (770 nucleotides) under Leucobacter sp. RNAcentral's name for it is "bacterial SSU rRNA". It matches the Rfam family "Bacterial small subunit ribosomal RNA", at positions 70 to 851 of the family's 1533-position model. Lineage: Bacteria; Bacillati; Actinomycetota; Actinomycetes; Micrococcales; Microbacteriaceae. The record is from RNAcentral.
GAAGCCCAGCUUGCUGGGUGGAAGAGUGGCGAACGGGUGAGUAACACGUGAGUAACCUGCCCUGAACUCUGGGAUAAGCACUGGAAACGGUGUCUAAUACUGGAUACGACCUAUCACCGCAUGGUGUGUGGGUGGAAAGAUUUAUCGGUUUUGGAUGGACUCGCGGCCUAUCAGCUAGAUGGUGAGGUAAUGGCUCACCAUGGCGACGACGGGUAGCCGGCCUGAGAGGGUGACCGGCCACACUGGGACUGAGACACGGCCCAGACUCCUACGGGAGGCAGCAGUGGGGAAUAUUGCACAAUGGGCGCAAGCCUGAUGCAGCAACGCCGCGUGAGGGAUGACGGCCUUCGGGUUGUAAACCUCUUUUAGUAGGGAAGAAGCGAAAGUGACGGUACCUGCAGAAAAAGCACCGGCUAACUACGUGCCAGCAGCCGCGGUAAUACGUAGGGUGCAAGCGUUGUCCGGAAUUAUUGGGCGUAAAGAGCUCGUAGGCGGCUUGUCGCGUCUGCUGUGAAAUCCCGGGGCUCAACCCCGGGCCUGCAGUGGGUACGGGCAAGCUAGAGUGCGGUAGGGGAGAUUGGAAUUCCUGGUGUAGCGGUGGAAUGCGCAGAUAUCAGGAGGAACACCGAUGGCGAAGGCAGAUCUCUGGGCCGCUACUGACGCUGAGGAGCGAAAGCAUGGGGAGCGAACAGGAUUAGAUACCCUGGUAGUCCAUGCCGUAAACGUUGGGAACUAGAUGUAGGGCCUGUUCCACGGGUUCUGUGUCGUAG